AUUCCACAAAUAGCCCCCUUAUUAUGAUUAAACUUAUUCUUGAUAUUCUCUGCUACAUUUGUUAUAUUCAUCAUCUUGAAUUAUUUCAUUAAAGUUCCAGCUAAAAUUGAAAAAUCUCCUUCAACCCCCCAAAAAAUAGAAAUAACUUGAAAAUGAUAA
RNAcentral lists this unclassified non-coding RNA (159 nucleotides) under Penaeus japonicus. Its description in RNAcentral is "aTP synthase protein 8". The record is from RNAcentral. Lineage: Eukaryota; Metazoa; Arthropoda; Malacostraca; Decapoda; Penaeidae.